CUACAGGCUUAACACAUGCAAGUCGAGGGGCAUCAGGAAGAAAGCUUGCUUUCUUUGCUGGCGACCGGCGCACGGGUGAGUAACACGUAUCCAACCUGCCCUUUACUCGGGGAUAGCCUUUCGAAAGAAAGAUUAAUACCCGAUGGCAUAAUGAUUCCGCAUGGUUUCAUUAUUAAAGGAUUCCGGUAAAGGAUGGGGAUGCGUUCCAUUAGGUUGUUGGUGAGGUAACGGCUCACCAAGCCUUCGAUGGAUAGGGGUUCUGAGAGGAAGGUCCCCCACAUUGGAACUGAGACACGGUCCAAACUCCUACGGGAGGCAGCAGUGAGGAAUAUUGGUCAAUGGGCGCUAGCCUGAACCAGCCAAGUAGCGCGAAGGAUGAAGGCUCUAUGGGUCGUAAACUUCUUUUAUAUAAGAAUAAAGUGCAGUAUGUAUACUGUUUUGUAUGUAUUAUAUGAAUAAGGAUCGGCUAACUCCGUGCCAGCAGCCGCGGUAAUACGGAGGAUCCGAGCGUUAUCCGGAUUUAUUGGGUUUAAAGGGAGCGUAGGUGGACUGGUAAGUCAGUUGUGAAAGUUUGCGGCUCAACCGUAAAAUUGCAGUUGAUACUGUCAGUCUUGAGUACAGUAGAGGUGGGCGGAAUUCGUGGUGUAGCGGUGAAAUGCUUAGAUAUCACGAAGAACUCCGAUUGCGAAGGCAGCUCACUGGACUGCAACUGACACUGAUGCUCGAAAGUGUGGGUAUCAAACAGGAUUAGAUACCCUGGUAGUCCACACAGUAAACGAUGAAUACUCGCUGUUUGCGAUAUACAGUAAGCGGCCAAGCGAAAGCAUUAAGUAUUCCACCUGGGGAGUACGCCGGCAACGGUGAAACUCAAAGGAAUUGACGGGGGCCCGCACAAGCGGAGGAACAUGUGGUUUAAUUCGAUGAUACGCGAGGAACCUUACCCGGGCUUAAAUUGCAGUGGAAUGAUGUGGAAACAUGUCAGUGAGCAAUCACCGCUGUGAAGGUGCUGCAUGGUUGUCGUCAGCUCGUGCCGUGAGGUGUCGGCUUAAGUGCCAUAACGAGCGCAACCCUUAUCUUUAGUUACUAACAGGUUAUGCUGAGGACUCUAGAGAGACUGCCGUCGUAAGAUGUGAGGAAGGUGGGGAUGACGUCAAAUCAGCACGGCCCUUACGUCCGGGGCUACACACGUGUUACAAUGGGGGGUACAGAAGGCAGCUAGCGGGUGACCGUAUGCUAAUCCCAAAAGCCUCUCUCAGUUCGGAUCGAAGUCUGCAACCCGACUUCGUGAAGCUGGAUUCGCUAGUAAUCGCGCAUCAGCCACGGCGCGGUGAAUACGUUCCCGGGCCUUGUACACACCGCCCGUCAAGCCAUGGGAGCCGGGGGUACCUGAAGUACGUAACCGCAAGGAUCGUCCUAGGGUAAAACUGGUGACUGGGGCUAAGUCAUAACA
RNAcentral lists this ribosomal RNA (1450 nucleotides) under uncultured organism. Its description in RNAcentral is "SSU rRNA". It matches the Rfam family "Bacterial small subunit ribosomal RNA". The record is from RNAcentral.